This 825-nucleotide long non-coding RNA is filed under the name Vigna radiata. RNAcentral describes it as "long non-coding RNA (VRAD_LNC005506)". Lineage: Eukaryota; Viridiplantae; Streptophyta; Magnoliopsida; Fabales; Fabaceae. The record is from RNAcentral.
GAAUGAUGACCUAUUUUAGUUCUUUAGGAAUAUAGUGUUAUAAUGGUGAAGAAAACUUAACGAAGAUUCCUACUAGACAAUAAGAUAACCAAAAUGUUAUUUAUAUAUGUGAAGAUUUACUUUCAAGGAUUCACAAGAGGAAGAGAAGAAAAAAUGGAGUAAAAGAUGAACGACUAGAACGGGGAGGGGAUUAAGGUGUUGACAAGCCACUUGAGGGGGCCACAAGGCUAACCAAACUUAAAAUAACUGGGUGUUGUCGUACAAUGUGCAUUUAAUAGAAAUGACAAAUCAAAACUAGCUAUGACUAACAUUCUUUCCUAUUUAAACCAAGUUGGUCAUUCUCUCUCGAACACUUCCACCUAUCUAAAUCAUCUUUCUCUCUCUUUCUCUUGAAUGCCCCUCCAAUACUCACUAAUUUCUCAAGCUCUCAACCAUCCAAACCAAUGAAACCACAUCCUGAACCUCCAGACCAACAUCAUUAUCUUACCUCUGGAUCAAGAUGCAUAUAAUAAUCAAACAUCCCUUCCUACAUGCCUAUUAAGAAAUUACCUACCUUACAUGAGUAGUUCUCUAACCUAACCUACACUUUUGAACAUUGGACAUUACCUCAUCAUUAUUUUCCCUCUCUUAUCCCUCUUCAUAGUCCUUCUCUUAUCCCUCUUCAUAGUCCUUCUCUUCCUCCCACACCAUCCUCAACCUCUUCUUCUUUUCUUCUUUUCCACCAUCCUUCGCUUACAUCAUCGUCUUGUUCUACCAUGAUCUAUCAACGAUGAUGUCCAAGAGCAAUCCUCUCCUCCAUCGGGCAAUUAUGCUCUUUCUUUCUCC